UACGUAGGCGGUCUGAUAAGUCAGAUGUAAAAGGCAAUGGCUCAACCAUUGUAAGCAUUUGAAACUGUCAGACUUGAGUACAGGAGAGGUAAGUGGAAUUCCUAGUGUAGCGGUGAAAUGCGUAGAUAUUAGGAGGAACACCAGUGGCGAAGGCGACUUACUGGACUGUAACUGACGCUGAGGUACGAAAGCGUGGGGAGCGAACAGGAUUAGAUACCCUGGUAGUCC
This 228-nucleotide ribosomal RNA is filed under the name uncultured bacterium. RNAcentral describes it as "partial 16S ribosomal RNA". It matches the Rfam family "Bacterial small subunit ribosomal RNA", at positions 568 to 796 of the family's 1533-position model. The record is from RNAcentral.